CUGACUGGCCUGAGGUCAUUCUCCUCUUCAGAUCCAUCCCAAAUUCAGAUGACUUAAACUCACCUAUCACCCAUCCUGUGCUUUGAGAAAGGUUUAUGUUAGCUACUGACCUCAGGGCAGCCAAGCCUUUCAUUGUCAUUGUUAUUCAAGGUAGGUUGAAUUCCAUUAAAAAAAAAAAUCCUUGAAAUUUGGUUCACUUAUUCAGAGCCACACAAUGCAAUCAAACUUUUUUUAUUUCAAUUUUUUUUCUUUUUUGGUGGAAGGGCCAAGAAUUGUUUCCUUGCUAAAGCAGACUCCUAUCAUAAUAACUUUAAUAGUAAUAGCAUUAGCCUUUAAAUCAGGUUGAUGUUAGGUUCUCAUCUAAGAAUGAAAUAAAUCCAACCAUAGCAGGUUGAAGGUCUCUCAUAUGUGGAACCUGUUCAGGAGGAGACGAUUCAACCACUUUUCUUAAAUUCUGAUGUACAUGCCUUUACGUUCUUUGCUUUAAGGGCCACAUAAAAAUAAUCCAAAACAAUUUACACAUGAGAAUAUUAGCAAUCUAAUACUUUCCUCCUGGCCCAGCACAUCUCCAAGUUUAAAAAUCUCUAAAUUAUCAACCCAUAGUUUCAUCACGGUAAUGCCUUUCUACUCCCAACAUAGAUUUUUAUGUAACUGAUUUAUAACUGCAACCCUAACCCUACAAUCAAAUUGUCAUUAAAAAACAGUAACAAAUAUGUACUAUAACAGUAGAUGGUUAAAAUCACUUAGGGAUUAUGAAUCAUUUCAUUUUUGUGUUUAUUUGUACUUAUCUUUUGUGUUUAUUUAUUAUGUCAGCUUCAAGCUGAUUCCCCUUUCCCGUGCUCCCCACACCUUGCGUUGUUCCUUUUCAGCAUCCUGUGUAUGUUAGCCCUAAGCCCAGCCAAUCCCCAUGCCCUCCACUUCAGGGACAGAGGGUGGCUCAUCCCUGUCGUGUCCCGCAGCUCCCUCCCCAGGGCCUGGUUGCUGGUUGGCAUCACAGUCAUACCCUUGAAUGAUGGGCACUGGUCCACACUACAUCCGUGGUCACGCAGUCACCCUCCCUCCACAGAGCCGGGCAAAAAGGGCUCCACCGUGCUUAGACAUUGAGGGAAGGGACGUUUUGAAUGGCGCUGUCUUGUGUGAUCCCACAGGGGAGAAGGAGAUUCCUCGAAUGGGAGUGGUCUGUCCUUGAGAGGAAUCCUGAAAGACAGGGGAACAGAGAGGGAGGAUCCACAUAAUGAGGAAGCAGCUGAGAGCAAAGGAGCCCCUGCCAGAGGAAUAUCCUUGGGGAUUAAAAACCUGGCUCUGCCCUUUCUGCCCAGCCCAUUCAUCCCAGCCCAGACAAUUCAAAUCUACCUUCUAUCAGGACCCAGAAAAGGAUGUAAAACCUCCAGGAAUAAAUAUCCCCUGGGUCUGGGGAAACUGUCAGGAGCAGUGACAUCACAGGAAAAACCACCAACCAGGGCCAAGGAGACCAGAGCCCAGCCCCUCGCCCAGAGGACCCCAGUCAGAGGCCCCAUCUCAGACCCGAGGCUAGCAUGGGCUGCAGGCUGUUCUGCUGUGCGGUUCUCUGUCUCCUGGGAGCAGUCCCCAUGGAAACUGGAGUUACGCAGACACCAAGACACCUGGUUAUGGGAAUGACAAAUAAGAAGUCUUUGAAAUGUGAACAACAUCUGGGGCACAAUGCUAUGUACUGGUACAAGCAGAAAGCUAAGAAGCCGCCGGAGCUCAUGUUUAUCUACAACUUUAAAGAACGGGCUGAAAACAACAGUGUGCCCAGUCGCUUCUCACCCGAAUGCCCAGACAGCUCUCUCUUAUACCUUCACCUACGCGCCCUGCAGCCAGAAGACUCAGCCCUGUAUCUCUGCGCCAGCAGCCAAGACACAGCCUUGCAGAGUCGCCGCUUUCCUGUGCAGAAACCUUCGGGGCCUGCCAGGAAGCUGUGGGGGCCACGGAGGGCUCGGGUGAGCAUUUCCUGCAAGAGCCCCGACAGAAGCUUCAGAACAUCAUGGCACCUGCUAAUUCAUCCAUGUGGCAACUUUACAUCCUGUGCUCAUAUUUAGAGUGUGGGUUUUCUUUAGCGUGUGACUCUGCCCUGUCAGCUGAUUUGAAAAUGAUAAACACAUUCAGAUCUAGUCUUUUUAAAAUCCCUUUUUAAAUUGUAAAAUAAAGCAAGCAUGCUCUAAGGGGAUUGUUUAGUUUAAGAUUUUACAAGACCCUCUAAACAACCACCUGCGUCACCACAGAGUCAUACCCUGCAAUGGGCCACACAGUGUCCUGUGAGGAGCCAAGCUCUUCUGACACUUUAUGUCUGGUGGUCUCCAAGCCUCUCUUUCUCAGGAACUAAGGGGUCCCUUCUGUCAUAAGUUGCUGACACCCAAGGUCAAGCAGCACUGGGUUUGGGGGAAUCAUAGAGGUAACUUCCAGGCAUGGGUCCCAGGGCAGGAGGCAGCUGGAGAGCACAGUAGACAACCCAGGUUUUGGGGAAUGGAUUUGAGAAAUAUGUCAAACCAGUUCUGUUAUUCUAUCUUCCAUCUUGUCUAUUCUCUAAUUUUCUUAUUUAAACUCAAAUCUACAGCAUAAAUUCCAGCCCUGAUCAAAGCUCCAUAUCCGCACAGACACCUUCUCUGAAUCCUGCAGGAAGCAAACUUGCCUCUGUCCACUCCCAUCCAUUCAGAUCCCGUGGACCAUGGUCUGGAAGCUUCCUCACUCAUCUACUCUCCUUCUCUUGACCUGAAGUGUCCUUGGUUUAAGAUCACAACUCCUCACUGGAUUUCCUCUCCACACUGACACUGGAAGACGAUGUUUUCUCCUUCUGGUAUCUUUAUUCCUAGCAUGUUAAAUCAUCAGGCUCAGAGUUCAGUGUCUCUGGAUUGUAGCUUUACAUUGGCCUUUAGGGAGGAGAGUGGGUCCUGACCGUUCUCUUCGUGUCUUAGCUUGCCUAGGUCUCCUGAAUUCUGUGUUUCUUGGGGGCUCCUCAACUGCACUAUUUCACACAGGGUCUGCAGGACUGCACCACAAGGAAACACAGAGGUCAAGCCUGGGGGCAUCCGUGCACUCCCAGAAUACACAGAGGCCAAGCCUGGGGGAAUCCGUGCACCCCCAGAAAACACAGAGGCCGAGCCUGGAGACAUCCAUGUCCAGUGUGCCACUAAGGCUCCCACUCCUCCAGUGCAGGAUCCUGAGUCUGUGGCUGCAGCCGACACUGUAACCUCACAAGAUCUCCCCAUUUGCACGGCUAAUGACCAGAGCUUCAGCUGGGAGUGGCCUCAGCCCUGCCCAAUUCUGCCAUGAAGAGACAGCAGGCUUCUAUGUAGGGUGAUCUUUGGUCUCUUUGGAGCACAUGAGUCCUGAGAGUGCUUGGGGAAUUCUUAUCCUGUUUACCUAAGGCCAGUUCCAAAGUUAUGUUUCAUUCCAUUUCAGGCCCCUGUUUACUCCACAGGAUACAUGGAACCUGGAGUCAGCUAAACCCCUAGCCACUAUGUCACAGAUGAGACAGAGCGUGGCUUGGAGGACCCACUUUCUGAUUCAUAGAUGGCUCCUUCUCACUCUAUCCUCACACGGUGGGAGGGCCAGCUAGUGCUCUGGUGUCUCUUUGCAAGGGCACUAACCCCUUAGGCCUUCAUGACCUCCUAAUCUCAUCACAUCAGGGCUUAGAAUUUCAACAUAUGAAUUUCAAGGGACACAAGCACUCAGAUGAUAGAAAUUAUCUUUCUUUUGGUAUUCUUGGUGUCCCGAUGGUAUCAGUUACUCUAAUAUGAUUUCUAAAAUGAAAGUGUAAAUAAGAUUGUCUCCAUGCAAGGAGGGAGUCAGACAAGGUAGGAUUUAAACCAUUUCCACCAUCCUGUUUUCUCAUUGCAGUCUUGGGCUCACCACUCAUAUUCUUUAUAUUCCUGUGCGAAAUAGCUUCAGUCUUCCCAAAAGAUAAUCAUCGCUAUUCGUUAGUUUCUGAUAUUGAUGUUUCUUUCUUGUCUCAUCGGGUUCAUCUGGAGAAGGAGCCAGGAGACGAUGCUAGUUUGCAACUUUA
Non-coding RNA from Chlorocebus sabaeus (green monkey), 4024 nucleotides. NCBI's taxonomy places the organism in Eukaryota, Metazoa, Chordata, Mammalia, Primates, Cercopithecidae. The record is from the annotation of a RefSeq genome assembly.